Molecule: ribosomal RNA, 250 nt
Filed under: uncultured bacterium
Lineage: Bacteria
Description: partial 16S ribosomal RNA
Rfam family: Bacterial small subunit ribosomal RNA
Source: RNAcentral
GCAAGUUGAACGAGAAAGCUAAUUUCGGUUAGUGAGUAUAGUAGCGCACGGGUGAGGAGUACUUAGGUAACUUACCCUCUCGCUGGGGAUAACAGGUGGAAACGCCUGCUAAUACCGAAUAGUCUUAUCUGAUCUCCGGAUCUAAUAAGUAAAGUUAAGGCGCGAGAGGAGAGGCCUCAGUCCUAUUAGUUUGUUGGUAAGGUAAUGGCUUACCAAGACUACGAUAGGUAGCUGGUCUGAGAGGAUGUAC